This 337-nucleotide long non-coding RNA is filed under the name Homo sapiens (human). Its description in RNAcentral is "HSALNT0228807". The record is from RNAcentral. Lineage: Eukaryota; Metazoa; Chordata; Mammalia; Primates; Hominidae.
CAUCCGCUGAGGGUGGAAGCGGCCCCCGCAGACGCUCGGCAGGUGUCUUGAUAUUAUCAUCUGCUGAGGGUGGAAGGGCAGUGAGCUGACGCUCGGAAGGUGUCUUGAGAUUAUCAUCCGCUGAGGGUGGAAGGGGAUGGAGCAGACACUCGGCACGUGUCUUGAGAUUAUCAUCCGCUGAGGGUGGAGCUGAGGGUAGAGCUGAGGGUGGAAGGGGAGUGAGCAGACACUCGGGAGGUGUCUUGAGGCUCAGGGAGUUAUCAGUUAUAGAAUGUUGUUGAGUUGGAGGAGGUGGCUGGUGGCCCAUCCUGUUUUUUAAAGUUUCAGCUGUGAGGUA